AACUUCCCUGCUGCGCAUCGUAUGGUAUGCGCUUCACGUGUAAGGUGUUCACCUGUCACUUAAGUACGUUAUUCCGGGAGCACACAGCUUUAAUUACGCAUGUGGAUGGAGAAUGUGCUCGGCCUUUAUACAUGAACCGGCCAGGUAUACUCACAGCUGCAAAAGAAGAGCUAAAGCGGCGGAUAGAGUAAAGAAUUCCGCUUGGACGAUUACCCAAAAUCGGCCGGCUCCGGAUUCCGAGGGCAGAACAACACAACGAUA
Nylanderia fulva is the source of this 261-nucleotide non-coding RNA. The record is from RefSeq and is a predicted model, not a curated record. NCBI's taxonomy places the organism in Eukaryota, Metazoa, Arthropoda, Insecta, Hymenoptera, Formicidae.